RNAcentral lists this ribosomal RNA (253 nucleotides) under uncultured bacterium. RNAcentral describes it as "partial 16S ribosomal RNA". It matches the Rfam family "Bacterial small subunit ribosomal RNA", at positions 524 to 776 of the family's 1533-position model. The record is from RNAcentral.
UACGGAGGGUGCAAGCGUUAUCCGGAAUCAUUGGGUUUAAAGGGUCCGUAGGCGGAUUUAUAAGUCAGUGGUGAAAGCCUGAUGCUUAACAUCAGAACUGCCAUUGAUACUGUAAGUCUUGAAUUCGAUCGAAGUGGGCGGAAUAUGACAUGUAGCGGUGAAAUGCUUAGAUAUGUCAUAGAACACCGAUAGCGAAGGCAGCUCACUAGGUCUGGAUUGACGCUCAGGGACGAAAGCGUGGGGAGCAAACAGG